CGCUGGCGGCAUGCCUAACACAUGCAAGUCGAACGGUAACAGUCCUUCGGGAGCUGACGAGUGGCGCACGGGUGAGUAACGCGUGGAUAUCUGCCUAUGAGUGGGGGACAACUUUCGGAAACGAAAGCUAAUACCGCAUAAUCUCUACGGAGCAAAGCAGGGGACCUUUCGGGGCCUUGUGCUUAUAGAUGAGUCCGCGUCAGAUUAGCUAGUUGGUAGGGUAAAAGCCUACCAAGGCGAUGAUCUGUAGCUGGUUUGAGAGGAUGAUCAGUCACACUGGAACUGAGACACGGUCCAGACUCCUACGGGAGGCAGCAGUGGGGAAUUUUGCACAAUGGGCGCAAGCCUGAUGCAGCGAUGCCGCGUGUGGGAAGAAGGCCUUUGGGUUGUAAACCACUUUCAAUUGGGAAGAAGGGAUGAGUAUUAAUAAUACUCUGACUUGACGGUACCUUUAGAAGAAGCACCGGCUAAUUUCGUGCCAGCAGCCGCGGUAAUACGAAAGGUGCAAGCGUUGUUCGGAUUUACUGGGCGUAAAGAGAUCGUAGGUGGUUUGUUAAGUUGGAUGUGAAAUCCCGGGGCUCAACCUCGGAACUGCAUCCAAAACUGGCGGACUUGAGUUCGGGAGGGGUAAGCGGAAUUCCGUGUGUAGCAGUGAAAUGCGUAGAUAUACGGAGGAACACCUGAGGCGAARGCGGCUUACUGGACCGAUACUGACACUGAGGAUCGAAAGCGUGGGUAGCAAACAGGAUUAGAUACCCUGGUAGUCCACGCCCUAAACGAUGUCAACUAGCCGUUGCGGGUAUCGACCCCUGCAGUGGCGCAGCUAACGCGAUAAGUUGACCGCCUGGGGAGUACGGUC
This 859-nucleotide ribosomal RNA is filed under the name uncultured Zetaproteobacteria bacterium. Its description in RNAcentral is "bacterial SSU rRNA". It matches the Rfam family "Bacterial small subunit ribosomal RNA", at positions 34 to 887 of the family's 1533-position model. Lineage: Bacteria; Pseudomonadati; Pseudomonadota; Candidatius Mariprofundia. The record is from RNAcentral.